Molecule: ribosomal RNA, 491 nt
Filed under: uncultured bacterium
Lineage: Bacteria
Description: partial 16S ribosomal RNA
Rfam family: Bacterial small subunit ribosomal RNA
Source: RNAcentral
GUGAACGCUGGCGGUAGGCCUAACACAUGCAAGUCGAACGGCAGCACAGUAAGAGCUUGCUCUUACGGGUGGCGAGUGGCGGACGGGUGAGGAAUACAUCGGAAUCUGCUUUUUCGUGGGGGAUAACGUAGGGAAACUUACGCUAAUACCGCAUACGACCUACGGGUGAAAGCAGGGGAUCUUCGGACCUUGCGCGAUUGAAUGAGCCGAUGUCGGAUUAGCUAGUUGGCGGGGUAAAGGCCCACCAAGGCGACGAUCCGUAGCUGGUCUGAGAGGAUGAUCAGCCACACUGGAACUGAGACACGGUCCAGACUCCUACGGGAGGCAGCAGUGGGGAAUAUUGGACAAUGGGCGCAAGCCUGAUCCAGCCAUACCGCGUGGGUGAAGAAGGCCUUCGGGUUGUAAAGCCCUUUUGUUGGGAAAGAAAAGCAGCAGGUUAAUACCCCGCUGUUCUGACGGUACCCAAAGAAUAAGCACCGGCUAACUUCGUG